Misgurnus anguillicaudatus (oriental weatherfish) is the source of this 4436-nucleotide non-coding RNA. NCBI's taxonomy places the organism in Eukaryota, Metazoa, Chordata, Actinopteri, Cypriniformes, Cobitidae. The record is from RefSeq and is a predicted model, not a curated record.
GGCCAAUCCCGACAAGAGGUGCCCAGAGCAUAUGUGCAAGCAGGACAGGGCAGCUUGCCUUCAUGCAAAUCUUGGACUUCUAGGGACUUUGACCAUACUGGCCGAGUUGGCAAGGUGCCCAGAGCACAUGUGCAAAUGGGACAGGGCUGUUUGCCAUCCUAGAAGUCUUAGACUUCAAGGGUCUCAGACCCUACUGUCCAAGCCUGACGAUAAGUCUUGGGCUGGAAAUUUUGAACUUCCAAAGUCUAUGACCCUAUCGGGCAAACCCGACAAGAGGUGUCCAGAGCAUACGCGCAAGCGGGACAGGGACGCUUUCUGUCUUGGACUUCUAGGGACUUUGGCCAUACUGGCCGAGUUGGCAAGGUGCCCAGAGCAUAUGUGCAAAUGGGACAGGGCCGUUUGCCAUCCUAGAAGUCAUGGACUUCAAGGGUCUCAGACCCUACCGGCCAAUCCCGACGAGAGGUGUCUAAAGCAUACGCGUAAGCGGGACAGGGCCGCUUGCCUUCCUGCAAAUCUUGGACUUCUAGGGACUUUGACCAUACUGGCCGAGUUGGCAAGGUGCUCAGAGCAUAUGUGCAAACGGGACAGGGCCGUUUGCCAUCCUAGAAGUCUUGGACUUCAAGGGUCUCAGACCCUACCGGCCAAUCCCCACUAGAGGUGUCCAAAGCAUACGCACAAGCGGGACAGGGCCGCUUGCCUUCCUGCAAAUCUUGGACUUCUGUUGUCUUUGAUCCUACUGGCAGAGCCCGACAAGAAGUCUUGGACUUCUGGAAGUCUUGGACUUCCAGGGUCUCCGACCCUACUGUCCAAGCCUGACGAUAAGUCUUGGGCUGGAAGUUUUUAACUUCCAAGGUCUAUGACCCUAUCGGGCAAACCCGACAAGAGGUGUCCAGAGCAUACGUGCAAGCGGGACAGGGCCGCUUGCUGUCUUGGACUUCUAGGGACUUUGACCAUACUGGCCGAGUUGGCAAGGUGCCCAGAGCAUAUGUGCAAACGGGACAGGGCUGUUUGCAAUCCUAGAAGUCUUGGACUUCAAAGGGUCUCAGACCCUACAGGCCAAUCCCGACAAGAGGUGUCCAGAGCAUACGCACAAGCGGGACAGGGCCGCUUGCCUUCCUGCAAAUCUCGGACUUCUAGGGACUUUGACCAUACUGGCCGAGUUGGCAAGGUGCCCAGAGCAUAUGUGCAAACGGGACAGGGCCGUUUGCCAUCCUAGAAGUCUUGAACUUCAAGGGUCUCAGACCCUACCGGCCAAUCCCGACAAGAAGUGUCCAGAGCAUACGCGCAAGCGGGACAGGGCCGCUUUCCGUCUUGGACUUCUAGGGACUUUGACCAUACUGGCUGAGUUGGCAAGGUGCCCAGAGCAUAUGUGCAAACGGGACAGGGCCGUUUGCCAUCCUAGAAGUCUUGGACUUCAAGGGUCUCAGACCCUACCGGCCAAUCCCGACAAGAGGUGUCCAGAGCAUACGCACAAACGGGACAGGGCCGCUUGCCAUCCUAGAAGUCUUGGACUUUAAGGGUCUCAGACCCUACCGGCCAAUCCCGACAAGAGGUGUCCAGAGCAUACGCGCAAGCGGGACAGGGCCGCUUGCCUUCCUGCAAAUCUUGGACUUCUAGGGACUUUGGCCAUACUGGCCGAGUUGGCAAGGUGCCCAAAGCAUAUGUGCAAAUGGGACAGGGCCGUUUGCCAUCCUAGAAGUCUUGGACUUCAAGGGUCUCAGACCCUACCGGCCAAUCCCGACAAGAGGUGUCCAGAACAUACACGCAAGCGGGACAGGGCCGCUUUCCGUCUUGGACUUCUAGGGACUUUGACCAUACUGGCUGAGUUGGCAAGGUGCCCAGAGCAUAUGUGCAAAUGGGACAGGGCUGUUUGCCAUCCUAGAAGUCUUAGACUUCAAGAGUCUCAGACCCUACUGUCCAAGCCUGACGAUAUGUCUUGGGCUGGAAAUUUUGAACUUCCAAAGUCUAUGACCCUAUCGGGCAAACCCGACAAGAGGUGUCCAGAGCAUACGCGCAAGCGGGACAGGGACGCUUUCUGUCUUGGACUUCUAGGGACUUUGGCCAUACUGGCCGAGUUGGCAAGGUGCCCAGAGCAUAUGUGCAAACGGGACAGGGCCGUUUGCCAUCCUAGAAGUCAUGGACUUUAAGGGUCUCAGACCCUACCGGCCAAUCCCGACGAGAGGUGUCCAAAGCAUACGCACAAGCGGGACAGGGCCGCUUGCCUUCCUGCAAAUCUUGGACUUCUGUUGUCUUUGAUCCUACUGGCAGAGCCCGACUAGAAGUCUUGGACUUCUGGAAGUCUUGGACUUCCAGGGUCUCCGACCCUACUGUCCAAGCCUGACGAUAAGUCUUGGGCUGGAAGUUUUAACUUCCAAGGUCUAUGACCCUAUCGGGAAAACCCGACAAGAGGUGUCCAGAGCAUAUGUGCAAGCAGGACAGGGCAGCUUGCCUUCAUGCAAAUCUUGGACUUCUAGGGACUUUGACCAUACUGGCCGAGUUGGCAAGGUGCCCAGAGCACAUGUGCAAAUGGGACAGGGCUGUUUGCCAUCCUAGAAGUCUUGGACUUCUGUUGUCUUUGAUCCUACUGGCAGAGCCCGACAAGAAGUCUUGGACUUCUGGAAGUCUUGGACUUCUGGAAGUCUUGGACUUCCAGGGUCUCCGACCCUACUGUCCAAGCCUGACGAUAAGUCUUGGGCUGGAAGUUUUUAACUUCCAAGGUCUAUGACCCUAUCGGGCAAACCCGACAAGAGGUGUCCAGAGCAUACGCGCAAGCGGGACAGGGCCGCUUGCUGUCUUGGACUUCUAGGGACUUUGACCAUACUGGCCGAGUUGGCAAGGUGCCCAGAGCAUAUGUGCAAACGGGACAGGGCCGUUUGCCAUCCUAGAAGUCUUGGACUUCAAGGGUCUCAGACCCUACCAGCCAAUCCCGACGAGAGGUGUCCAAAGCAUACGCGCAAGCGGGACAGGGCCGCUUGCCUUCCUGCAAAUCUUGGACUUCUAGGGACUUUGAUUAUACUGGCCAAGUUGGCAAGGUGCCCAGAGCAUAUGUGCAAACGGGACAGGGCUGUUUGCCAUCCUAGAAGUCUUGGACUUCAAGGGUCUCAGACCCUACCAGCCAAUCCCGACGAGAGGUGUCCAAAGCAUACGCGCAAGCGGGAGAGGGCCGCUUGCCUUCCUGCAAAUCUUGGACUUCUAGGGACUUUGAUUAUACUGGCCAAGUUGGCAAGGUGCCCAGAGCAUAUGUGCAAACGGGACAGGGCCGUUUGCCAUCCUGCAAGUCUUGGACUUCUAGGGUCUUGACCCUACCAGCUGAGCCCAACGAGAAGUCUUGAACUUCUAGGGUCUUGGACUUCUAGGGUCUUUGACCAUACCGGAUGAGCCCGAUGAGAAGUCUUGGACUUCUGGAAGUCUUGGACUUCUGGAAGUCUUGGACUGUUCUCGAAAGGGAACAACGUAAAGCUAGGCAAACACUAAACAUACUAGCCUAAACUGAACUAUAAACUUCACAGUAAACUAAACUUUAAAUAACUAGACUUAAUAGACUUCAUACAGGAAACAUACAAACACAUCACCACAUGACGGCAAACACAAGUUUAUCAAGGGGGCAACAGGUGUAGGGCAUAUAACAAUAGCAAGAUAAUUAACCCAAUUAACACCAAAGCAAACAAUGACCAUGUGCUUCCACACAAAACAAGUAACGUUGUCACGAUCCUGACAAAAGACUAGAAAAGCAUGAAUGAUAGAGGCAGGAUCGUGACAUAUGGUGAAAUUGUCAUAUUUUUGUCUUUAACUUCUUCUGUGAGUUCAAUUUGUUUUACAGAUAGUAAAAACAUUUGAUGGAUUGUUGUUAGAUGACCGACUCAUCAUCAAUGAUGAGGCACUUGAGGGGUGGCAGGCUGCGCAGAAGGGCACAUCUCAAAACAUGCAGCUGGACAGUAAGAGGUAUGGUAUCCAUUACAGCUCUCUUUAUUUCUUACCAAAUCUAAACUAGACUAAAGCCCGGUACACACCAAAAGGUAAUCGGGCUGAAUUUGGGUCGAUUUUCCCCCUAGGUAAAGUCCCAAUCAUCUUUGCGGUCGAACCGAUUAUCUUAGAUUUUGCUUUAGUGCGUGGUGUGUUAAGAACGUCUGAAUCUGAAUUAUAAUUGAAUAUGAUCAUUAAUUGACAUGUUUCUGUUUUUUAAUUAGAAAUUAAAAACCAGACUCCAUGACUGAUGGAAAGCUCUUCAUACAUUCACUGUGCUGAAACUGUGAAGACAACUCAGACAGAGACUAAAAAAGAUUCAAAACAACACCACUGAAACACUGAAGACUGAUCUUAAAAACCCUAAAUGUCUAAAUUUAAAAAACUGAAGAUCACAGUGGAAGAUUGCCAUAUUUAAAUAAAAAAAUCAGUUUUUCAGUAAAAUGAAAAUAAAAGGAUGUUUUUUUUGUCAA